RNAcentral lists this ribosomal RNA (497 nucleotides) under uncultured bacterium. RNAcentral describes it as "partial 16S ribosomal RNA". It matches the Rfam family "Bacterial small subunit ribosomal RNA", at positions 28 to 507 of the family's 1533-position model. The record is from RNAcentral.
GACGAACGCUGGCGGCGUGCCUAAUACAUGCAAGUAGAACGCUGAAGAGAGGAGCUUGCUCUUCUUGGAUGAGUUGCGAACGGGUGAGUAACGCGUAGGUAACCUGCCUUGUAGCGGGGGAUAACUAUUGGAAACGAUAGCUAAUACCGCAUAACAAUGGAUGACACAUGUCAUUUAUUUGAAAGGGGCAAUUGCUCCACUACAAGAUGGACCUGCGUUGUAUUAGCUAGUAGGUGAGGUAAUGGCUCACCUAGGCGACGAUACAUGGCCGACCUGAGAGGGUGAUCGCCCACACUGGGACGGAGACACGGCCCAGACUCCUACGGGAGGCAGCAGUAGGGAAUCUUCGGCAAUGGGGGCAACCCUGACCGAGCAACGCCGCGUGAGUGAAGAAGGUUUUCGGAUCGUAAAGCUCGGUUGUAAGUCAAGAACGGGUGUGAGAGUGGAAAGUUCACACUGUGACGGUAGCUUACCAGAAAGGGACGGCUAACUACGUG